AUGUGGUGAAGGCAGCAAGUCGCGGGUUGUUGUUGGCGAAAUGGUUCUGUUGGUUGAAUGGAAGAGUAGCUGAAGGAACAGUUUUGGUCGAAGAAGAGAAUCCUGAUGAUGCUGCAACACAGAGC
RNAcentral lists this microRNA precursor (125 nucleotides) under Populus trichocarpa (black cottonwood). RNAcentral's name for it is "miR172i stem-loop (ptc-MIR172i)". Its record names the gene ptc-MIR172i. The record is from miRBase by way of RNAcentral. Lineage: Eukaryota; Viridiplantae; Streptophyta; Magnoliopsida; Malpighiales; Salicaceae.